GGUUGACCUCGAAUCAGGUAGG
Molecule: ribosomal RNA, 22 nt
Filed under: Golovinomyces biocellatus
Lineage: Eukaryota; Fungi; Ascomycota; Leotiomycetes; Helotiales; Erysiphaceae
Also listed under: 6 other names
Description: partial 28S ribosomal RNA
Source: RNAcentral